GCGGCGGGCUGCGCGGCGCUGAGCGCUCCCUUCCUCCAGGGGCCGCCGAGGGGCCGCGCCGAGCGCAUGGAAUUUUCCACCGCCCAGCCAGCCUGCAGAGUCGCGGCUCAUUGGCGGAGCGGGGGCGCCUGUCCCCGCGUGGGUGCGGAGAUGAGAUUAGCCAGGGAGCCCUCCUCAGUGGGCUUUGCAAGGUUCUGAUUAAUCAGUUAAAACUCAGGCAACUGGAGGCCCAUGCAGCUCUGGCUGUAGCAUCAACCAGCGAUGGAACAUUAUACAGUCCUGAGAGUCCUGUGAUCUGUGAGGAGGGGAGACUCUGCACUGUUGAUCUGACACCCUGCACCAGAGUGCCCCACGUUGAUUAAAUCCAAAAGAUGGGAAACUCAAAUAUGGAAGGCCAACUGCAUAUGGAGCUGGUAUCUGAUGAAAGAUUGAAUGUAAAAAAAAAAAAAGAAGUAUCUUCUACUUGAAACCACAGUUCUACAUGAUUAUUUUAUGUGUGUGGUACAUUCCUGUCCCUCCACACUCCCUCUCCACUCCUCCAAGGCCAACACAGCCAGUGCUCCCCAGCCUGGUCCAGAACAGCCGGCCCCACAGAAGAUGGUGCAUCCUCCUGGUUCUUGGUGGGAAGAGGCAGUCCCCUGCUGUAGGAUUGUGGUGUGAGCAAAGCAGGCCUUUGCAGCAUGGAAAGCACCUCGUGGGUCCAAGGAAACCUACAGCUGCUCAGAGACAGCUGGGAAGACUGGGGAGGAAGGUGCUGCUGUCACAUAAAUGGGGACAGGACUACCAGCCAGGACAAUUUGGUAAUUACUAUGAAUGUGACUCCAUAUUUUGCAAAGUCUGGGAAGUUAAUAUUUAUACGUGUUUUAAAAUAUUAAAAUGGAUCAUACCCCAGUUUGGUUAAGUAAGUUAUUUGCUUUAACAUGAUCACAUAAACUUUUUUUCUGUAGCUAGAUGAUCGUAAUGGUUUUCAAACUAUGU
RNAcentral lists this long non-coding RNA (978 nucleotides) under Ictidomys tridecemlineatus (thirteen-lined ground squirrel). RNAcentral's name for it is "lncRNA (ENSSTOG00000030448.1)". The record is from RNAcentral. Lineage: Eukaryota; Metazoa; Chordata; Mammalia; Rodentia; Sciuridae.